RNAcentral lists this ribosomal RNA (253 nucleotides) under uncultured bacterium. RNAcentral's name for it is "partial 16S ribosomal RNA". It matches the Rfam family "Bacterial small subunit ribosomal RNA", at positions 524 to 776 of the family's 1533-position model. The record is from RNAcentral.
UACGUAGGUGGCGAGCGUUGUCCGGAAUUAUUGGGCGUAAAGGGUGCGUAGGCGGUUUGAUAAGUCUUGUGUGAAAUCUCUGGGCUCAACCCAGGGGCUGCACAGGAAACUGUCGGGCUUGAGAGUGGGAGAGGUGAGUGGAAUUUCCGGUGUAGCGGUGAAAUGCGUAGAUAUCGGAAGGAACACCUGUGGCGAAAGCGGCUCACUGGACCAUUUCUGACGCUGAUGCACGAAAGCUAGGGGAGCAAACAGG